This 164-nucleotide ribosomal RNA is filed under the name uncultured bacterium. RNAcentral's name for it is "partial 16S rRNA". It matches the Rfam family "Bacterial small subunit ribosomal RNA", at positions 355 to 511 of the family's 1533-position model. The record is from RNAcentral.
UAGGGAAUCUUCCACAAUGGACGAAAGUCUGAUGGAGCAACGCCGCGUGAGUGAAGAAGGUUUUCGGAUCGUAAAGCUCUGUUGUUGGUGAAGAAGGAUAGAGGCAGUAACUGGCCUUUAUUUGACGGUAAUCAACCAGAAAGUCACGGCUAACUACGUGCCAC